RNAcentral lists this ribosomal RNA (732 nucleotides) under uncultured eukaryote. RNAcentral's name for it is "SSU rRNA". It matches the Rfam family "Eukaryotic small subunit ribosomal RNA", at positions 671 to 1426 of the family's 1831-position model. The record is from RNAcentral.
CGCGUGCACUGGUUCGGCCGGGCCUUUCCCUCUGGGGAGCCGCAUGCCCCUUCACUGGGUGUGUCGGGGAACCCAGGACUUUUACUUUGAACAAAAUUAUAUCGCUUAAAGAAGGCCUAUGCUCGAAUACAUUAGCACGGAAUAAUAGAAUAGGACGCGUGGUUCUUUUUUGUUGGUUUCUAGGACCCCCAUAAUGAUAAAUAGGGACAGUCGGGGGCAUCAGUAUUCAAUUGUCAGAGGUGAAAUUCUUGGAUUUAUUGAACACUAACUACUGCGAAAGCAUUUGCCAAGGAUGUUUUCAUUAAUCAGGAACGAAAGUUAGGGGAUCGAAGACGAUCAUAUACCGUCAUACUCUUAACCAUAAACUAUGCCGACUAGGGAUCGGACGAUGUUAUAUUUUGACUCGUUCGGCACCUUACACGAAAGUAAAGUUUCUGGGUUCUGGGGGGAGUAUGGUCGCAAGGCUGAAACUUAAAGAAAUUGACGGAAGGGCACCACCAGGGGUGGAGCCUGCGGCUUAAUUUGACUCAACACGGGGAAACUCACCAGGUCCAGACACAAGUAGGAUUGACAGAUUGAGAGCUCUUUCUUGAUUUUGUGGGUGGUGGUGCAUGGCCGUUCUUAGUUGGUGGAGUGAUUUGUCUGCUUAAUUGCGAUAACGAACGAGACCUUAACCUCCUAAAUAGCCCCCAUUGCUUUGGCAGUGCGCCGGCUUCUUAGAGGGACGAUCGG